RNAcentral lists this long non-coding RNA (533 nucleotides) under Homo sapiens (human). RNAcentral's name for it is "non-protein coding lnc-RAB32-2:1". Lineage: Eukaryota; Metazoa; Chordata; Mammalia; Primates; Hominidae. The record is from RNAcentral.
GUGUGGCAACUGCACGCCACUCUGCAUCCUACAGCGUGGAUCCUCUGCAUGUGCUUUUGGGAGAUGAGCUCACUGAAAUGGCCAUGUCCAGUCAAGGACACUUUGAGGGAAAUUUUGAGUCUCUGGAUCUUGCAGAAUUUGCUCAAAAUCAGCCAUGGGGGAAUAAGAUGUUUGGACAGGAAUCUGGAUCUCUGGCUAAAAAGUAUCCCGUGACAACCCAGCUGUUAAUUGGAAGCUUCACUAGAUGAUGCAUGGAGUUCAUAUUCCAAAAGGUUGAAAAUUGGCUGCAACAGCUGUGGGGGGGUGAAUUUUUUCUCCUUCAGCUUGCAAGUCAUACUGAGUACAUCAAAGAUGACUGGCAACAACUAGAGGAGGACAUGAAGAAAGCAAAAGAACAGCUGAAGAUCCAUAAAAGCAAUCAGAUACCUACUAAGGUCAAGAGCAAAGCUGAGGAGGUGGUGUCAUUUGUGAAGAAGAAUGUUCUAAUGACUGGGGAAAUUUUCAGAGGUCUUCUGCUUGGCAUGGCAUCAUAA